AUGCCCUUCUCUGAAGCUAUCAAGAUCUUGAGUACACCUAGCAAUGUGCAUUGUGGCCUCACCACUCCCGCUGCUACAUCUGGAGGCCCUACUAGUACCACUUGCCCAAUAUCCAUUCAAAAAUCAUACUGCUCUGAUCUGUUAAAAGAACUGGAGGAUUCUGAAUCUGAUACUGCAAGUGAAGCUGCUGAUUCAAGAGAGGAGUUGGGUACUUUUGAUACCUCUAUAGUCAGUGGUCUGAAGAUGAUGUGUUUAGUGGAAAAUAGGGCUCUUCUCAAUGAGCAACCUGCUACCAAGAACAAGUAG
This 306-nucleotide ribosomal RNA is filed under the name Triticum aestivum (bread wheat). RNAcentral's name for it is "partial small subunit ribosomal RNA". Lineage: Eukaryota; Viridiplantae; Streptophyta; Magnoliopsida; Poales; Poaceae. The record is from RNAcentral.